AUUGAACGCUGGCGGCAUGCCUUACACAUGCAAGUCGAACGGUAACAGGUCUUCGGAUGCUGACGAGUGGCGAACGGGUGAGUAAUACAUCGGAACGUGCCCGCUCGUGGGGGAUAACGAAGCGAAAGCUUUGCUAAUACCGCAUAAGAUCUACGGAUGAAAGCAGGGGACCGCAAGGCCUUGCUCGAACGGAGCGGCCGAUGGCAGAUUAGGUAGUUGGUGGGAUAAAAGCUUACCAAGCCGACGAUCUGUAGCUGGUCUGAGAGGACGACCAGUCACACUGGGACUGAGACACGUCCCAGAAUCCUACGGGAGGCAGCAGUGGGGAAUUUUGGACAAUGGGCGAAAGCCUGAUCCAGCCAUGCCGCGUGCAGGAUGAAGGCCUUCGGGUUGUAAACUGCUUUUGUACGGAACGAAAAGACUCUGGUUAAUACCUGGGGUCCAUGACGGUACCGUAAGAAUAAGCACCGGCUAACUACGUGCCAGCAGCCGCCGUAA
This 498-nucleotide ribosomal RNA is filed under the name uncultured bacterium. RNAcentral describes it as "partial 16S ribosomal RNA". It matches the Rfam family "Bacterial small subunit ribosomal RNA", at positions 30 to 523 of the family's 1533-position model. The record is from RNAcentral.